UACGUAUGGUGCAAGCGUUAUCCGGAUUUACUGGGUGUAAAGGGAGCGUAGGUGGUUUGGUAAGUCAGGAGUGAAAUGCCGGGGCUCAACCCCGGAGCUGCUCUUGAAACUGCUAAACUGGAGUGCAGGAGGGGUAAGAGGAAUUCCUAGUGUAGCGGUGAAAUGCGUAGAUAUUAGGAGGAACACCGGUGGCGAAGGCGGCUUACUGGACUGUAACUGACACUGAGGCUCGAAAGCGUGGGGAGCAAAC
Molecule: ribosomal RNA, 250 nt
Filed under: uncultured prokaryote
Description: partial 16S ribosomal RNA
Rfam family: Bacterial small subunit ribosomal RNA
Source: RNAcentral